RNAcentral lists this long non-coding RNA (3899 nucleotides) under Nicotiana tabacum (common tobacco). RNAcentral's name for it is "long non-coding RNA (NTAB_LNC017127)". The record is from RNAcentral. Lineage: Eukaryota; Viridiplantae; Streptophyta; Magnoliopsida; Solanales; Solanaceae.
AAGUAGCACCUUUUGACUUUUCAACAAAAUGGAGAUUAUCUCCUUUAUCUCGUCUCUUUCUGCAUAUUUCUAGAGAGCACGACCAAAUAAUACCCCUAACAUCACCCUUAAGCUCUCUGCAAGGGUUUCAAAUAAUACCAUCAUCCCGGGCACGAAAUCACGAAGCAAUAACACAAGAACGAUCCCCACGACGUAAGUAUUGCUAUAUAACCUUUCUUUUUCUUUAUAGUUUGAGUGUUGGAAGGUAUUUAAUAGUUAAGAAAAUUCUUAAUUUAUGGUUUUAAGCUCAUAAAUAUCAAGUAAGUUUGAUUAAUUCAUUUCAUAAUAUUUAGAACUCACGGGAAGGUGAUCGGAAGCCGUGAGUUCGAGUUAUUUGAUUUGUAAUGGACUGUUUUGUGGGCUAUUUCGUGUAGCUUUUGGGCUGUAUCUUUUGCUGAUAUUUAAUGGAGUUUUUGGAGGAUAAAUGGUUUGAAUAAACACCACAUAUUUGUGAAAUAAUGGAUUAGUCAUUCUUUGUAAUAUUUUCGGGGUGUUGGACACUACUAUAGUCGUUGUUUUUGGUAUGAAUUGAUUGGGGUGUGUUGGGCUGUUGUAAGCUAAAUAUAAUAUAGAUUUCGACUUGCAUAUACUGUAGGAGGUAAUUAUAUUGUGCUCCAACAAGUGCUUAAGGUUAUAUUGACAUCGGUUGAGUUAAAUGGAUGAAGUAGACAUGAACUAGUAAAUAAAGUUGCUAAUUAAGAAUAAUUGGAGUUGUGUAUCAUUUUCUUUGUUAUGGAUAUAUGGUAUAAGGUUGUAAUUAUUGAUGAAUGACUUCAUUAUCAUGUUAAUGAUACUAUUAAUUUAAAGUAAAAAGUCUAUAAGGGAUGAUAAGGGAUAUACGAAUUCCAAUUGGAGCUUGUCGCUCGUCGUAAAAUAGUUAUGACUUGUUGUAGUUUUAUGGUAUCUUGUUAUUGAUAAUUGGUAUUGAUGGAUUUCUCUGGUAAUUGUUGUUGGUAUAUGGUAUUGGAGGAGGCUCUUGUUACUGGGGAGAAGGUGCCCGAAUUUAUAUAAAUGAGCUACAAGUUUAAGUUGCAAACUUAGCCUUUAUUCAACACUAAUUUUGAAUCUCCUUAUGCAAUGGUAGAUUGAGUUGAGUUGUUUGAAGAGUUGCUUAAGAUGUAUUAAGGACUCACCAUGGUUAAGGUAUGUUAAGGCACUUCCCUCUUUCUUUUGGCAUGAUCUAAAGUGAAAUGAAUACACUAUUUCGUAACAGAUCUACUCCUAGAAACUAAGGUUGCCCAUGUUGUUCUUUCCUUAUAAAGUUAUUCUAAGAAAGUAUGUAUGAUCCUUGAAUCCUAUAGAAGCUCAUAUUGAUGGUAUGAUGUCCAUAAUGUAAAUCGAAGGUGCAACGACCUUAAGUCACUCCAAAAGGUUUAGAACGUGAUUCCAUGAGUUUAGCAUGCAUUAUAUAUAAUAUCUAUUUUACUCUACCGAGCCGCACUAUAGUAGGCCGGGUAUGAUAUAUAUUGUGUAACCACUGAUCAGUUGGAUUUACCGAGCUCCACGUGGCCGGGUACGAUUCUACCGAGCCUUAUGAUGGCCGGGUACAUUUUUACCGAGUCCUCUUUGAGGUCGGGUAUGAUAUGAUGAUGAUGAUGAUGAUGAUGCCUACAGACGCAUAUAUUUUUAAAAGGUUAUGUAUAUAAAUGUAUUACGCAUUUCAUGUCAGCAUCCCACAGAGGCACGCAGAUGUUACAGAUUGUAUCUCCUCUAUCUCUCUUUAUAUUACUAUUCUUGUUUAUGCUUUACAUACUCGGUACUUUAUUGGUACUGACGUCCCUUUUGCCUAGGGACGCUGCGUUUCAUGCUUGCAGGUCCCAAUUGAUAGGUUGACAUUCCUCCUAGUAGGCUAUCAGCUCAGCGGAGGUGUUGGUGCACUCCACUUGCUCCGGAGUUGCCUAUUUGGUCAGUAUGCUUUAGAUAUAUAUUGAUUGACAUGGUGGGGCACUGUCUCGACCUUUAUGAUUUUAUGUACUCUUAGAGGCUUGUAGACAUAUGUUAUGUAUAUGAAAAUCAUAUGGCCUUAUCGGCCUAUGUUCAGCGUAUGAGUUAUCACUUUGGUUUUAUAGGCACGUAUGUCACAUGUAUAAGUUUUCAUGUCAUGUCAGGUCGUCCAAUAUUUUGUAUUCCCUUAUAUUUUAUUUUUUUUUAUCUCAUCACGACCUUUCUAGGCUAUUUGCCCAUGAUAUUAUGAUACGACAGAUACGUUAUGUUGGUACUCGGUUAAGUAAGGUAUCGGGUGCCCAUCACUGCCCAUUGGUUUGGGUCGUGACACUAACCCUAUCCAAAAACCCACAUUACGGUCCAAAGAAAGACCUUUCGAUCAGUCUUUGAGAGUUUCCAAGUCGAGCAAGUAGAGGUGAUUUGUAUCAGGGGCAGCACUCUGGUCCAGGCAGGAAAAAAUAAUAAAAAUGAGAGUCUUAUUGGUGAAAACCCUCACGAGCACCGUAAGGCGAUGGGAGCUGAGAGAAAUAAUAAAAAUGAGAGAGUCUUAUUGGUGAAAACCCUCACGGGCACCUUGAGGCGAAAGUGAGCUGAGAGAUGAACAAAUGAGAGAGGCUUGUUGGUGAAAACUCUUCAGGGCACCGCAAGCCAAACAAGGUCAAGGUUUUGGUGAAGAAGUCUAGUUAUGGAAAUUCCGGGGCAACAAAGUAUGGCAAUUGAAAGUUGACUCGUUGGACAGAUUGGGUCGAUUAAUCGGAAAUGUCAUGAUCAUUGGUGCCAGCUGCUUCACUCAGAUAAGUUUCUUUUCUUUUUUCCAUUUAGAUAGUCUUCCCGUUUUGGAUUUUGCUUAUCCUUAACUCUGAAAGUCAUUCCAUUUCAUUUCUUUUGGGUUUAUUUCUCUAAGAUGUUCCUAAUGUCAGUUCUAUUUAAGCAAAUAAGAAGGAAUUCCAAAGCCUACUACCAACUUCAAAAGUUGCACAAGGCGUAGGGCAGUUGAGGCAUUGCUAGAGGUAGUAUGAUGUGAAAUGGGAUAUAAAGUGCCAGUGAAUAUUCCAUCAGCGGAAUGAUUCAGUAAUUUCAUAGGAGAUGCAGAAGUUCAGUAAAAGGGGUCAGAGGUGAAACAACGGUUCGGGUAUAGAACACUCGGGUCAUCCGAGGUCACGUGGGUUGAAAAUCAGUCAGAAAGCCAAGCUGUUCUUGGCCAGUCCAUGGGAAGUCAGUCACAACGAAGCACGACAACAAGGAGGCCACUUUCAGCAAGAAUUCCAUCAGCUAACCACCACAUUUUAAACUGACAAGAUUUUUCUUGAAACAGGGGCAAAAAGUUUCGUUUGUUUCGGGGAAACCCUUCGUAAAGAAAAGCGAGCACCAAAUAGGUUUGGCUGUAAAUUUUCAGGUCCUGCCUAGAUAAUGGGAUUAAAUUCGAAGUUCUUAGGACCCUCCUAAAAAUGGGACCUAGUUUAAAGUUCAAAACAAUCAUGAGUAGUAAAAUCUAGCAUAAAUGUAUCCCAAGGAAUAUAAGAUGGUUUCAAAGUUUGCAUGUUUAAGAUAUGAUUCAAUUAGGAGUUUUCAGGGCCCUCCUGAAUAAUGGGACCUAGCUUUAGGAUUUCCAUCAGAUAACAAGAUGCAGCGUAAGUUCUAUUGUAGGGUAAUAUAAUUUAGCCGUAAAACAGUCACUCUUAAGAUAAAACUUAAUUUUUGAUUCUCAGGACCCUCCUCGAUAAUGGGAUGUAGCUUUAAUACUUUCUUAGAUAAACAAGAUGUAGCGAAAGUAGUACCUUUAGAAGAUAUAAUUUAGAGUUAAAACUGUCAUUUAACUGGGAGCUGUCAGGACCCUCCUGGAUAACCGGACGUAGCUUUCAAAUUCUUAGUAAUAUUUGGUAAUAUGAUUCAGUUUAACACUCACAUAUGUGCCC